AACGCACAUUGCGCUCUCUGUUUUGCAGAGAGCACGCCUGUUCGAGCGCCAUUUCACCCACCAAGCCAUGCUUGAUGUUGGACGAGGCAAGAUAUAGCCAGUCCCAAACUCCUUUGGCGCCGUCCGUCGAGCACCAGCGUAGCAAGUAAUUCUCGCUUCGUGUGUCGACAGGUGGUGGCCGCGACGAAACCUAUUCUAUGGUUGGCCUCGGAUCAGGUGGGGAUACCCGCUGAACUUAA
Molecule: unclassified non-coding RNA, 239 nt
Filed under: uncultured fungus
Lineage: Eukaryota; Fungi
Description: sequence contains ITS2
Source: RNAcentral